GCCACAGAUGGAAAUCUAACUUCUGGUCC
Molecule: non-coding RNA, 29 nt
Filed under: Rattus norvegicus (Norway rat)
Lineage: Eukaryota; Metazoa; Chordata; Mammalia; Rodentia; Muridae
Source: RNAcentral